AAAACUUUCAACAACGGAUCUCUUGGUUCUGGCAUCGAUGAAGAACGCAGCGAAAUGCGAUACGUAGUGUGAAUUGCAGAAUUCAGUGAAUCAUCGAAUCUUUGAACGCACAUUGCGCCCGCUAGUAUUCUGGCGGGCAUGCCUGUUCGAGCGUCAUUU
This 159-nucleotide ribosomal RNA is filed under the name Rosellinia australis. RNAcentral describes it as "5.8S ribosomal RNA". It matches the Rfam family "5.8S ribosomal RNA". From Rfam's summary of the family: 5.8S ribosomal RNA (5.8S rRNA) is a component of the large subunit of the eukaryotic ribosome. It is transcribed by RNA polymerase I as part of the 45S precursor that also contains 18S and 28S rRNA. Lineage: Eukaryota; Fungi; Ascomycota; Sordariomycetes; Xylariales; Xylariaceae. RNAcentral also lists the same sequence under 2 other names. The record is from RNAcentral.